This 275-nucleotide ribosomal RNA is filed under the name uncultured bacterium. RNAcentral describes it as "partial 16S ribosomal RNA". It matches the Rfam family "Bacterial small subunit ribosomal RNA", at positions 338 to 628 of the family's 1533-position model. The record is from RNAcentral.
CCUACGGGUGGCUGCAGUGGGGAAUUUUCCGCAAUGGGCGAAAGCCUGACGGAGCAAUACCGCGUGAGGGAGGAAGGCUUUUGGGUUGUAAACCUCUUUUAUUGGGGAAGAAGGUCUGACGGUACCCAAUGAAUCAGCAUCGGCUAACUCCGUGCCAGCAGCCGCGGUAAUACGGAGGAUGCAAGCGUUAUCCGGAAUUAUUGGGCGUAAAGGGUCUGCAGGUGGUUGGUCAAGUCUGCUGUUAAAGCAUGGAGCUUAACUCCAUAUAGGCAGUG